UAAACUUGUUGUCUCACAAGUGAUAGGCAAGAGCUCUACCACUGAGCUAUAACCCCAGCCUGAUUUUCUUUUUUUUGUAAGUUAAUUUUUUUUUUAAAGGACCAUUAAAACACUUGGACUGAUCUUAGGAAUGUGGAAAGACCAAGUUUCCUGAAUGUACUCAUAAAGAAAACUAAACAGCCUGGGGCUGUGUGAUUAUUAGCUCUUCUGGGACUUUUCUGAACACAUAGUAUCACUCUAAGGGUAAAAUCACUUUUUCAAGCAGAAUUCCCUUAUAGCAGACAGAAUGUUCUGGGGGGUCAAAUGAGGUUGACUAGUACCCAGCCUGUAUAUUUUAUAGUACUAGAGUAGGGACCAAGGGUAAUCCGUUGUAAAAUUCAAAUAAGCUAUUUAUUGUAUUAUUUAUAAAGAUAUAACCUGAAUAGAAUCAGAUUGCUGAGUAGGUAGCUUAUCAUUCCUUUAAAGAGAAAAUUUUCCUAAUCCACUUAAUUAUUUGAUUUCCAAAAAUUUGUUUGGCAUCUAAUGUUUAAGGGAACCAAUCCAUUUUAUACAGCAGAACACAUCUAUGUGGAAGAUUAUAGCAUCACCUUAGUUUAGGAAAUGAAUAAGAAAAAACAAGCUACAGUUAUAUUGAAUUUGCAGGCCACUGUAAAUAUAAUAGAAGAUAUUUAUUUUAUGUGGGCAUUACAUGAGGAAUGGGGAUUGAACUCAAGGGCACUCGACCACUCAGCC
Molecule: long non-coding RNA, 732 nt
Filed under: Marmota monax (woodchuck)
Lineage: Eukaryota; Metazoa; Chordata; Mammalia; Rodentia; Sciuridae
Source: RNAcentral